ACCUACCUUGCCAGAGGGAUAGCGAUAACUACUUCAGAUUAAUGCUCCAUGGUUUAUCGAUCUGGCAUCGUAUUGAUAAUAAAGAUUUAUCUCUAUAAGAUGGGCAUGCGUAUCAUUAGCUAGUUGGUGUGGUAACGGCAUACCAAGGCAACGAUGAUUAGGGGUCCUGAUAGGGAGAUCCCCCACACUGGUGCUGAUACACGGACCACACUCCUACGGGAGGCAGCAGUGAGGAAUAUUGUUCAAUGGAGGCAACUCUGAACCAGCCAUGCCGCGUGCAGGAUGACGGUCCUAUGGAUUGUAAACUGCUUUUGUACAGGAAAAGACCUCCCUACGAGUAGGGACUUGACGGUACUGUAAUAAUAACGAUCGGCUAACUCCGUGCCUCCAGCCGCGGUAAUACGGAGGAUCCGAGCGUUAUCCGGAAUUAUUGGGUUUAAAGGGUUCGUACGCGGCUUUGUAAGUCAGUGGUGAAAUUUCCUAGCUUAACUAGGACACUGCCAUUGAUACUGCAGAGCUUGAAUAAUAUGGAAGUAACUAGAAUAUGUAAUGUAGCGGUGAAAUGCUUAGAUAUUACAUGGAAUACCAAUUGCGAAGGCAGGUUACUACGUAUUUAUUGACGCUGAUGAACGAAAGCGUGAGGAGCGAACAGGAUUAGAUACCCUGGUAGUCCACGCCGUAACGAUGGAUACUAGCUGUUCGGUUUUCGGACUGAGUGGCUAAGCGAAAGUGAUAAGUAUCCCAACUGCGGAGUACGUUCGCAAGAAUGAACUCAAAGGAACUGACUGGGAGUCCGCACAGCCGGUGGCAGCAUGUGAUGAAGUCCGAUGAUACUCGAUGA
RNAcentral lists this ribosomal RNA (841 nucleotides) under Myroides odoratimimus. RNAcentral's name for it is "bacterial SSU rRNA". It matches the Rfam family "Bacterial small subunit ribosomal RNA", at positions 124 to 967 of the family's 1533-position model. Lineage: Bacteria; Pseudomonadati; Bacteroidota; Flavobacteriia; Flavobacteriales; Flavobacteriaceae. The record is from RNAcentral.